GGGGCGGUGGUCUAGCUGGUUAUGUCGCUCUGCCUUGUAGGCAGAGAGGUCGGUGGUUCAAAUCCAUCCCGCUCCA
This 76-nucleotide transfer RNA is filed under the name Colletotrichum orbiculare MAFF 240422. Its description in RNAcentral is "tRNA-Thr (TGT) (tRNA-Thr-TGT-23-1)". It matches the Rfam family "tRNA". From Rfam's summary of the family: Transfer RNA (tRNA) molecules are approximately 80 nucleotides in length. Their secondary structure includes four short double-helical elements and three loops (D, anti-codon, and T loops). The record is from RNAcentral. Lineage: Eukaryota; Fungi; Ascomycota; Sordariomycetes; Glomerellales; Glomerellaceae.